UCCUCCCGCUGGCGGCGUGCUUAACACACGCAAGUCGAACGGUAAGGCCCUUCGGGGUACACGAGUGGCGAACGGGUGAGUAACACGUGGGUGAUCUGCCCUUGACUUCGUGAUACGCCUGGGAAACUGGGUCUAAUACCGGAUAGGACCACUGCCUGCAUGGGUGGUGGUGGAAAGCUUUUGCGGUGUGGGAUGGGCCCGCGGCCUAGCCGCGGGGUGGUGGGGUGAUGGCCUACCAAGGCGACGACGGGUAGCCGGCCUGAGAUGGUGACCGGCCACACUGGGACUGAGAUACGGCGACGACUCCUGCGGGAGGCAGCAGUGGGGAAUAUUGCCAACGUAGCGCAAGCCGGAUGCAGCGACGCCGCGUGAGGGAUCACCGCGUUCGGGUUCGAUAACUCUUUCAGCACCGACGAAGCGAAAGGGACGGUAGGUGAAGAAGAAGGACAGGCACACUACGUGCCAGCCGCCGCGGUAA
Molecule: ribosomal RNA, 478 nt
Filed under: uncultured bacterium
Lineage: Bacteria
Description: partial 16S ribosomal RNA
Rfam family: Bacterial small subunit ribosomal RNA
Source: RNAcentral